AAAGAGUCCCUCCCGACUGUUUACCAAAAACACAGCACUCUGCUAACUCGUAAGAGGAUGUAUAGGGUGUGACGCCUGCCCGGUGCUCGAAGGUUAAUUGAUGGGGUUAGCAUUAGCGAAGCUCUUGAUCGAAGCCCGAGUAAACGGCGGCCGUAACUAUAACGGUCCUAAGGUAGCGAAAUUCCUUGUCGGUUAAAUACCGACCUGCAUGAAUGGCGUAACGAGAUGGGAGCUGUCUCAAAGAGGGAUCCAGUGAAAUUGUAGUGGAGGUGAAAAUUCCUCCUACCCGCGGCAAGACGGAAAGACCCCGUGGACCUUUACUACAGCUUGACACUGCUACUUGGAUAAGAAUGUGCAGGAUAGGUGGGAGGCUUUGAGUAUAUGACGCCAGUUGUAUAUGAGCCAUUGUUGAGAUACCACUCUUUCUUAUUUGGGUAGCUAACCAGCUUGAGUUAUCCUCAAGUGGGACAAUGUCUGGUGGGUAGUUUGACUGGGGCGGUCGCCUCCCAAAUAAUAACGGAGGCUUACAAAGGUUGGCUCAGAACGGUUGGAAAUCGUUCGUAGAGUAUAAAGGUAUAAGCCAGCUUAACUGCAAGACAUACAAGUCAAGCAGAGACGAAAGUCGGUCUUAGUGAUCCGGUGGUUCUGUGUGGAAGGGCCAUCGCUCAAAGGAUAAAAGGUACCCCGGGGAUAACAGGCUGAUCUCCCCCAAGAGCUCACAUCGACGGGGAGGUUUGGCACCUCGAUGUCGGCUCAUCGCAUCCUGGGGCUGGAGCAGGUCCCAAGGGUAUGGCUGUUCGCCAUUUAAAGCGGUACGCGAGCUGGGUUCAGAACGUCGUGAGACAGUUCGGUCCCUAUCUGCCGUGGGCGUAAGAAGAUUGAAGAGAUUUGACCCUAGUACGAGAGGACCGGGUUGAACAAACCACUGGUGUAGCUGUUGUUCUGCCAAGAGCAUCGCAGCGUAGCUAAGUUUGGAAAGGAUAAACGCUGAAAGCAUCUAAGCGUGAAGCCAACUCUAAGAUGAAUCUUCUCUAAGCUCUCUAGAAGACUACUAGUUUGAUAGGCUGGGUGUGUAAUGGAUGAAAGUCCUUUAGCUGACCAGUACUAAUAGAGCGUUUGGCUUAUCUUU
Molecule: ribosomal RNA, 1129 nt
Filed under: Campylobacter jejuni
Lineage: Bacteria; Pseudomonadati; Campylobacterota; Epsilonproteobacteria; Campylobacterales; Campylobacteraceae
Description: partial 23S ribosomal RNA
Rfam family: Bacterial large subunit ribosomal RNA
Source: RNAcentral